GAUGAACGCUGGCGGCGUGCCUAAUACAUGCAAGUCGAGCGAACGGACGAGAAGCUUGCUUCUCUGAUGUUAGCGGCGGACGGGUGAGUAACACGUGGAUAACCUACCUAUAAGACUGGGAUAACUUCGGGAAACCGUAGCUAAUACCGGAUAAUAUUUUGAACCGCAUGGUUCAAAAGUGAAAGACGGUCUUGCUGUCACUUAUAGAUGGAUCCGCGCUGCAUUAGCUAGUUGGUAAGGUAACGGCUUACCAAGGCAACGAUGCAUAGCCGACCUGAGAGGGUGAUCGGCCACACGGGAACUGAGACACGGUCCAGACUCCUACGGGAGGCAGCAGUAGGGAAUCUUCCGCAAUGGGCGAAAGCAUGACGGAGCAACGCCGCGUGAGUGAUGAAGGUCUUCGGAUCGUAAAACUCUGUUAUUAGGGAAGAACAUAUGUGUAAGUAACUGUGCACAGCUUGACGGUGCCUAAUCAGAAAGCCACGGCUAACUACGUG
RNAcentral lists this ribosomal RNA (497 nucleotides) under uncultured bacterium. RNAcentral describes it as "partial 16S ribosomal RNA". It matches the Rfam family "Bacterial small subunit ribosomal RNA", at positions 28 to 507 of the family's 1533-position model. The record is from RNAcentral.